RNAcentral lists this long non-coding RNA (1278 nucleotides) under Gopherus agassizii (Agassiz's desert tortoise). Its description in RNAcentral is "lncRNA (ENSGAGG00000002688.1)". Lineage: Eukaryota; Metazoa; Chordata; Testudines; Testudinidae. The record is from RNAcentral.
AUGGUGUAUCUUAGUUACAGUAAUAUAACCUCUUAUGUUACUUAUACAGGAGAACCUGACCAAGCUGAAAUUUACAUAGACAUGUGGGACACUGACCAUGAUAUAGACCUCGUGUUAGUCCCAGGCACUUGUUGGCCACUUACUGAAAAGGGUCCAGAAUGUUUUAUAGCCACUCGUGCCACCAGAACUGAUGUUACAGUUGAAAGGAUAUGCUUAGCCACUGUAGGAUUUCUUUGUGUCCAGGAUCUUCCCCUCACUGUAAAUAUCACUUGUACUCUACUUCAAUACACCCCUUCCCAUUCAAUUAACACUUCCCUGGCUAAGGAGGGCAUUCAGGUUCAGAACCAACAAUUAUGGUAUGAGCCUACAGAAAAACCUCACUUAUCAGGAUUUAAAUGGACAAUCCUAAAUGCCACUUUAGGAACCAUCCAUUUUUCUUUUCCCCUCUCUCACUUUCAAACCGCCGCCACUUACUCUAACUGCUCUAAAGGCGCAGCCCUACGCCUGAUGGAACAACAAACUCGACUUAAAGAUAGCAGAAAAAGGAGAGAUAUUGUUGAUACUCUGCUGCACGGUGCUAACACUGCAGCCUCAGCUUGGACUGUUUACAAAACGCAGGAACAUGAGGGCCAUCUGGGACAAUUAGACCAGGCCGCAGGGUUUAUCUCUGGGACUCAGAUUACUGAGGAAAAGGCCGGUAUAGGCGCACUCCAUACUAUCUCAGCACUAAGCAUUGUUACCCAGGACCUGCUUAAGCAUAUGGUCCAUCAGGCUACUGUAUCAGGAAAGGCAUUGCAGUGGGAUCAGGCGUGUUCAGAAGUACAGGAUUAUCUCAAUACCAUCCUUUUCUCCUUACGUAAGGACCUCGAACAGCAGCGCUGGCCCACUGCCCUUACUAAUACAUCUGGUAUAUCCCCCUAUUUGUGGCCAUGGAGACACACUUGGAAGUUUUCUGAAUGGAAGUGUUGGCGCUCACAGUGUUCCUUCCGGGCUUAUGGACCCGUGAAAGGAUUUUGGGCCCCCACUUAUCGUAUUCUCCCAGGCCCUUGGGGUGGUUGCUUGUGGGACUGGGUAAUUCAUCGAGAUGUUUGGGAAAUUAAGCCCCCUGGCGGUCCUAACCGCUUCUUAAUUGGUGCCCCAGCUAUAACCCCUGACCUUUGGAUAGGUCUAGGUGAUCUCUGGACCUAUUGGCCCUUACAGCCCCCACAACUACAAUGCUUUAGAAAACUACACCCCGGAGAGGUGGUAACUGUCCAUCACCGGGUAUGUUGGGAGGGU